UGAGUCGUUCCCUUUCAUAAGCUACACACUUUAAUAGUACAUGUUCAACGGCCUCUGGUAGUCCACAUUUAUUGCAAUGACCCGAGUCAUGUUUGCAAUAAUAGCUAGCGUCUGAUCGAGAGCUGUGUGACCAAAUACGGAGUCUAGAUAUUAUCAUGUCCUGCUUCCAAAGUUUUUCCUUCCAUUUCCAACUUGUUUUUGAAUGUUGGUAGAUGAUAGAUGAUGACCUUUUACCUCCUCGUUUCUUUUCUUAAUCAUAGCCCCUCUAAUUACUCCUUUCAUUUCUGCUUUACUUUGUGUUAUUUUUGUAUCCAUGUUGGUGUUUUUCAGUGCCUUCUUAGCCAUUUGACCAGCUUACUUAUUUCCUUCUAUCCCAACACGUGCUGGUACCCAUAAGAAUAAUCUGCUCGAUCUAUUAAAUAUGCUCAUUUUGAACAUGCUUUGUAGAAUAUCAUAUAAUACGUCUUGUCUAGAUGUAGACUUGCCACUUAAUAAACUUGGUCGAAGGAGAAUACGAGUCCGAGCCAGUGACUGUUCUGAAUGGCUGAAUUUCCUCCACCCAAUGCAGCGCCAUCAGAAGCCGCUUUCCGUCAUGUGCCAGGGUCUUUCAAUCCAUCUGUAAAUCUCUCUUAGGAACAUUUAUCUUUUUGUUAUCCAUUUCUUCCCAAGUUGGCGGUCUACUAUCGGCAUUGGAAAUAACCACGGCGGUAUUGUAGGAAUCACCACCGUAGGACUUGCAUCUAUUCUCGCCAGUCCUGUACCCUCAGCCUUUCUGUACUGUCCAUCCAAAAAAUAUCAUUCGACUUAUUCUCCCACCAUCUUCAGCUGGAUGCGUCCUUUUAAAGAGGUCCAACAUACCAACGUAACUUAAGUCUGCGAAUAUCCACUGGCGCUCCUCCCAUUUCCGCCUGAACUGCCGAUACUGGAGAGGUUUCUAAAGGCACCACAACAUUCUCGCAAGGCUAACUUGAACCAUGUGUAUUUUUUACGAGCUCCUUAACGAGUGUCGUCCUGCACCGCGUCCCACCCGAUAAACAUCUCAAUAUUUACAUCGCGGCAUGUGGUGGAGGAGUUUAUCCAGACUGACUUACAUUUAUUUCAUUUAUUCAUUAAGGGCCUUGCUCAAGGGCUCAACAGCGGCAGCUUAGUGGUGCUGGGGUUUGACCUGACGACCUUCCGAUCAGUAACCACUGAGCUUUUUCUAUUUUCCAUACGGUCGCAACUUUUUCAGAAUUGGGAUUGUAGUAUUUUGACCACGGAAGGACGUAUCAAGGUCAUUCUCAUGGGCGGUUCUGGAAGCUGUCGCUAGGUUGCGAUGGACUUUAACAGACAGGAAUUACUGUGCAACAACCGCGAGUUGCCACCGAUGAAGGUAGAACCGAAGUCUAAAAUGCGAGAGAGAAAGAAAGAAGAAAGAAAAAAAACAAACAAACAGGAGAACGGAGAAAAGGAGUACUGACGAGAGAAGAAUAAUAAAAUAAAAAAAAAAAUUCAAGGACAAGGAUUUUGAACAACUAUUUAUUUCUCAUUUCUGAAUAAAAACCUCAAGCUGGUCACUGAAAGUACACCAUGCUGUACAAUUGCUUUAUUCAGGAAAUACAAACAAAACCAAAAAAAAAAGAAAAAAAAACCACGUUAGCCAAUCAAAUUCUUUUAGAAGAGAGAAAAGAAUCCUGUUUCACCUUUACAAAAUGAAACUCUGUAUGUACAGUCUGACAUCUCAUAUGAGCAGGAGGAGGAGGACCGGGGCAGUGUGUGGCGUUAAUGUGAUUAUUGCAUCAGUCCAGGACUCGCUCACUUCUCUCUCUCUCUCUCUCUCUCUCACACACACACACACACACACACACACACACACUCUCUCUCUCUUGCUAGGGCAAAAUCCCAAAUUUGACACACCAGAGGAUUUACACGUCCUCAGCACUGCACUACACGAGCAAGAGAGCGCUCGGUACAACCCAAAUACUUACGACACACAACUUCUCUGGCUCAUUAAGGCAUUUCCCUUCAUGCCAUCCUCCAAGCCACGACCAAAUCGUCCAAUCAGACGGCUCAUCCUGAACUGCAGGGCUUUAUACUAGCUGCCUACCAAUAGACCAAUAUUAUAAUAAUAAUAAGCCACAUGUAGCUAAGGUUCAUCGCGUAGCGCCUACAGGAAGUACACAAGAGCCACAAAGGUAACCUCAAGCCACGACAAGAACACGAACCUUACCGAGUCUUAUUGAUACGAGACGAAAGAACGAAGCACGAACGAGUCUUUCAUCAUAAACCUUGCACGAGCAGGAAAAGAAGAAACGAACGAAACAACAACAACAACAAAAAAAAAAAAAACGUAGAAUGCAUACAAACUCCCAAAUGCUGGUAGAGAAGCGGAGAAGUGCUCCGUUGACAUUCAGGGGGAGGGGAAAAAAAAAAAAGACGAAUUAAAUACCACGCGAUAAAGCAUCUCAAGAGCUGGAAUUCGUCCAUGAGCACAGCGGAGGAAUCCUGAAUUAAACUCAACACAGACCCUGGAUCAGCGGUCCUACACAAUCAACCCUCCGCACACACACACACACACACACAGUUCGUCACUGACGCAUCCGAAAAGCACGAGAUCAUCCGAUCGGCUAAUCACACCGCCAUGUGACCAUGACAUCACCGCUAUCCCUUCUGCUAUUCCACUUCUCCAGCUUAAUGGUACUGCUUUGGAGAAAAUACUGCAGCCUUAAAUUACACAGCUUGCGAUGUAACAGAUAUUAAAAGUAAACGAUUUUGUUGUAUAAUUCAAGCCAGCGACCAGGUUCACCAUCAAACUGUCACAUUUUUUCGUGUGUGUGUGUGUGUGUGUGUAUACACACACACAUCAGGCAUUUUUAUCUUAGUGCAAUGUAUAUCAUUAUAUUGUGUUGAACCUCAAGCUGAAAAAAGUGAAGAGUUAGUGGUAAUGUCAUGGUCUGACGGGCUUGCUCAGCACUUCUCUUUAUUUAUUUAUUUAUUUAUUUAUUUUUCUUUAAAAAGGGGGGGGGGGGGGGAUCAUUCGCGCAUGAGCUUGGGGACGCUUCAAAAGCUUCGCCAAAACGUCCUGAUUUGAUUUCAAACAAUCUGAAUCCCCACUCCAAGCAGAAACCUUUUUAUAGACCCUAAAAAGUUGAUUUUUUUUAAAUUUUAUUUUAAGAUGAGACCAGAGCGGCGGUGCACCAGAGCGUCGGGCCAGUCUCUAAACUCAUGACCUGGAUUGGUUGUAACGCUACCAGGUUCUCAAACAGAAUUCAAACCUCAUUACACAAGAGCUAGAUUCACGAUAACACGUUGUUCUUCACUUCAUACAUCCCCCCUCUCUCUCGGAUUCGAAGUUUAAUAAGACUUUAAAGAAAAAAAAACAAAACAAAACAAAAAAAACAAAACACAGAGCUACUCAUAUUUAAAGCCAAAGUAAAGAGAACAUGGCGCAGAAACAAACAAACAAAAACCCAGUUUGUGUAUCAUGGCGUUAUUCGUCUCUAAAGUGCAAAUGAUUUUGUUUUCUUUGAGGGGAUCUGAUCGUACUGUUAAAGAGUGCGCUGGACAAUCCCUGAAGAACUCGACAGACAACGCGCUUAGUUGUGCGGCAAAUGUAACAGAAUUGAAACACGUCGGCGUAUCAAAGAGCCUGACAAAAAAGACAUCUGCGUAAUCGGUGAAAGGCGAUACCCACUGGCGCGCGGAUCUCAACUUUAAUCAAUUCUAAGCGAGUGUGUGAUUUCUUUUUCCACCCAAAAGAAAGAAAGAAAGAAAGAAAGCAAGCAGUCUCUUCCAGCAGGGAACACUUCCUGUCUACAAUGGCACCGAAAAGACAUACAGGAAUAAUUCCUUAAACCAGAAAAAAAAUAUAUAUAUAUAAUAAUAUUUCUAAAAUCCCAUUGAGUGCUCGCUAACUUCACACCAGCAUUAUUACAUUCAACAUACAGUUGUCCUUUCUUAUUCAUUAGCCAACAUUUGAGAUCGGAGUUGAUUGAGAAUUUAGGAAACGCCGG
Molecule: long non-coding RNA, 3992 nt
Organism: Ictalurus punctatus (channel catfish)
Lineage: Eukaryota; Metazoa; Chordata; Actinopteri; Siluriformes; Ictaluridae
Source: Ensembl